CUUAGCACAGGUCUUCCUGUGUAAAUACGUCUCUUUAUGAUUAGCAUCCAGUGCUCCUGACAUUAGCUUCCAGCUAGUGUGUAUAAUUCUAGAGCACGGCUCGUGUUCCUGGAUCGCUCCCCCACAGAAGAGUGUCAACAGCAGUGUGUGUAUGCACUGAUACAUGACCAGAAAACUCUACACAAGGCACUGUUCACAGAGGAGAGAUGGGAAUUUUUCAAAGGUUUUGUCAGAAAAAAAGAAGUUACUUGGACUUUCUGCAGGAAUCAUUCAGUUUCCGAGAAAUCCAGGCAGGACCAGCCAAUAUGCCAGUGGUCUGAACAGUCACUUGAUUAAAAAAGAUUCAGAUUCAAGGUUUUCCUUACACAAUGUGGAAGACAGACCAAGCCAGACGUGGUGCAGACUUUGAAUCUUCCCCUUGGAUGAAGAUUAUGACCAAUCAACUUUCUUCUCAGGUGGGUUUUCUUCUUUCACCUCUUUCUUCCCACACCUAUGAAACCUUUGAAGACUCUUGAUUCUGUUUUUGGAAAUGUCAGGAAGUGUGUAAUGAAGAAAUCACGUCCCAGUCAAAUCAACUCAGCCAGGAAUAGAUGGAUUUUCACAAAACCCUUAAGAGACGACACAGUCCAGUUAUCCCUAUUUUAUAGACAGGGAGCUGAGGCAUAAAGAUGAAACAAAAAAUUAUCCGCUCAUUUGGGUUAUCCAGUUUAAUAUGUCUCAAAGCUGAUAUUACAACAAAUAAGAAAAACAGAAUGUUAUGUAGUACAAUAGCUUCCUGAGUCUCUACUGGUAGCUUUAGCUCAACAGUAGUGCUGGCUGAAAGAUAUCCAAAGCAGCUGUCCUGCCUAAUCUUACAUCCCGAUUCCCAAGCAGAGAGAAGCUAGAACGUUCUAACGAAAAAUAUAUAUUUUUUUAAUCUUGGACUAAAAGAAAAAAUACCCACAAAGCUUUUUUCCAUAGUCUAGAUGACUAAAAGGGCUGCAAUAUUUUACCUGAAAUUUAAAAGAAAAAAUAAUCAACCUGAGCAGUCACCCAGUACAAGGAAACUUCAACACAGGGGAAAGUUUGGCUAAAUUAUAAGCAUCUGAAAGCAGAGACUUCCAAAGAGAAAUGUCAUGCAAUGUCAACAAUAAGCAGGGCUACAAGCCUUUCCAGUAAUGAGAAGGUUCUUACUUGUAAGCACAGUUCUGGAACCAUAAAAGAGAUCAACAUUGCAACAUACAUAUUAAUUCUUCAUUCAAUAUUAUACAUAUUGCCGGGGAAAAAGCCACAUCAUUUCCCAUCAAGAAGUCUGUUACCCUGCUAGUAACAACAGAAGGCUAGUCAGUCAGUCCGUCAGCCAAAAGCGUUUAAUUCAGCCAGAUCUCUUUCCUUACUGCGAAGCAAAAUAAUGAAACAAACGACAAUCU
RNAcentral lists this long non-coding RNA (1409 nucleotides) under Struthio camelus australis. RNAcentral's name for it is "lncRNA (ENSSCUG00000008880.1)". Lineage: Eukaryota; Metazoa; Chordata; Aves; Struthioniformes; Struthionidae. The record is from RNAcentral.